Molecule: long non-coding RNA, 3388 nt
Organism: Alligator sinensis (Chinese alligator)
Lineage: Eukaryota; Metazoa; Chordata; Crocodylia; Alligatoridae
Exons: 3
Source: RefSeq, a predicted model, not a curated record
GGAACUUCAGUGACUCCGGUGAGUGUGGGGAAGAACUGGGACUCCAUGAAGCGACCCUGCGGGGAGUCCAGAGAGAAAGGAGUCUCCCCAGGAUGAUGUGCUGGCAGGAGGAAAUAGCAUAAGCCCCCGGCCCAUCGGGACAGCAAUGACACUGAAAGCAGUGGUGCAGACAGUGAGGGAGCAGCCAGGGUCAAUCCCGGCAUGAGGCACAUGCAAAAGACGCAGAGAAUGUGCCUCGUUAACAAGGCAAUUAGUGAUAGAGACUGUGAUAGCAACAAAGUAUCUGUAAGGCAUCCGGCGCUGAGUUCCCUUAUCGGGAGCUCAGACGUCCCUCGCUAAUGAUGCAAUUAGCGAGGCUACUGUAAAGCUGCAACACCCUGCUGGGAAAUAAAGUAACACUGUGACAAGUUACCACCUGGGUGGCGUUAGUGAUUCCUAGUGCAGAAAGACCACUGAAACCCUCUUCUUUUCCUUUUUAUCUAAGUCAUGGCAGACGAGCCCAGAGGGAGAUGGAAUUAGGCUCGAUCACCCAUUCGCAAUGGCAGGAGAGUUGGAGAUUUGUUCAGAAAGAGUAAGCUAUUUUUUAACCUGGCAGUAUUCCUCUUUGGCCAGUUUUAGAUUCCAGUUCUGUAGGCCAAGAUGGUUAACCUGUACCCUGCAAGUCCUCAUCAAUGAGGAUGAGGGAGUUGAGUCAAGCCUUAAGUCAGAUGUCACUGGGGUGAUGUACCUACAAAACCCAUUUACACUGUAAAGUGAAACACGCUCCCAAAAUAGAGCAGUUCUUUCCUAGAACAGUGUGUGCACUGAAGUCCUCAAGAGUUAGCCGGGGUUCCUUCAUGACUACAGUCUGAAUUGAGAUGAACCAGAAUUAAUUUACUUGCCAGAAUCAAGCUGGCAAGCUUUUCCCCCCGCAUAGGAUGUGCUGAGUUUUACUCAGACUUUAACAAAAACAGUCUUGAUGAGAAUAAAUUAUGGCGUAUUAGAAACUCUACAUUUAAGUUGGGCUAUCAAAGCUUUACAAUGAAUCACCUCAGGAUUACAGAGGUUUAAGGAGCAGACCAUUAACAUUUGCAGCCAAGCUUAUAGGUCAAAGUGUCAUAAAAAUGAAAUUUCAGCCACGCUAAAUUUACCUAGCAAACAAGUCUGAAGUUAGACAAGUGUGGCAAGAAUCUUUUACAUAGGUGGGUAGAUGGCAUCCAAGUGAAAUGAGAGCAACAUACAGAAAUGUAGAUUCCUCUCUUUUUCUAUCACGCCCAGCAACACAUAGGAGCUAUAGCUAAGUAAAUGCAGACAGGAACUAGUUAUAGCAGGCAUACCUAAAUCACCGACCAUUAGAUUCAAAACUCAGGUCCUUAUCAGUUUCCUUGUAAAGAUCUCAUCAACUCCUGGCACCACACUGUACAAAUGUGUGUACAGUGUGUGUGUACAAUGUGUACACACACAUUGUACCAGAUUAUCAAUGCAAGCUCUUGUAGCACCACUAUAAAGCAUCACCGGAAUUCAUUGGUCUAGGCUGCUAGGAAAUGCCCAUCAGUAAUUUUACAGUAGCUGAAGGACAUGUACAGAGAUUCUGCAUUUCCUCCAACAAGCUAGCAUUCUGCCAGCCCAAGCUUAGGUUCUUUAGUAUAUCGUCACAGAGUCAGUCUCAGCUAUCAGUCCCUCUACAGUGGAUCCAUUGUACAGUGAAUGCCAAUUGUUCCUGUACUUUGCAAAGCUGUACUCUCCGUGAAGAAUAUUUUUAGCACUCACAUGGAAUUCUAAUGAGCUCUUUGGCCUGAUUUAUAGACAUUCUGCAAACUAAGGUGUGUACUGGACCAACAAACACCCAGCUGAGACACACCAUCAUAUAUAUACAAGUUGAGCACAUACUGAGACAUUUUCAGUAUUAGAUUACACUGAUUGGCCCUUUUAUAGGGAUCGUGCUUGCCUAAUCUCCCUUCUUCCUGCCACAUUCUGUCUCUUUCAUGUCCCCUCACUAAAAUAAGUCAUUUCAAAACUUUUUUGAGAGGUAUUCUGUUUUCUUUGUUCAUUUCUAGGUCUCCCUUACUCCUGCUAUACUGCAGCAGGGCACUAAGGUGCCUGCUACUGAGAGAGCUGGGAAGACUCCUCAGGUGCCGGUUGCUGAGACAACUAGAGGGAGCUAAUGGUCCGCACCUGCCUAGCCAUCUGACAAGAAGGGGCAGGGCCUGGCUCCUAUAUAAACCACAGGCAGGAGGCCAGGUGGCAGUUCCCUACCAGUAGCCAAGGAGGGAAGUGCUCAGCCAUUUUACAAAGGAGAGGCCUGAUGAAGGAGCUGCAUCUGAUACUGUAGAGAGAGAAAGGAUCCCUGGAAUUGGAUGAGACUGCACUCCAGAGAUGUCAUAAAUUGACUGAGGUGCCAGACGGCUGAAGAGUCAGCCUGUGCUGAUAAAAUCAUACCUAAGCAUCGCUAUUUCUAUGAUUAGGGGAAAAGAAGCUCACACCAGGGUAAUCAAAAAUGGACCUUAAAAGAAGCUGGUUUCACAAUCGGGUGAGGGAGCCCUUUUCUACAGACUGGCUGCUUCAGAUAUAAAGCAAGAAGCUCUACCUUGCCUGAAAAAUCAAGGGUUAACUGUACAGCAAUUACAUCUGUUUGACGUUUCUAACUGGCUACUAUAAUAGUGUGCGGCUACGUUACCCCAAGGUCACCAUUAUGAAAGCUCCCACGUACCCGUUUGAGCUGCUGCUUACAGGGCAUAGUGAUAUAGUUAAAUCCCUGAAACUGGACAUUGUGGCAUUUUGGCUGAGGGGAGGAAAACAAGGCUGGGAUUCACAGCUUUCACCAGGUUAUGGACACUUUCUGAGAGGGCUUGUCAUUUGCCCCACUGUCUGCCCCGAGGUGCCCGUGCAGCUGCCGCCAGCAUACAGCUGAUGCUGGAGCUGUGCAACCUGGUGGAGCUGUUUGCACUCUUCCCACUGCUUGGUGCAGCUGCCCAGAGUGCGGACUGGCUACAAACAGCUGCGCUGGGCUCGUCACCUCCGUGCCGGGAGCCAGGGAGAGACCGGGACUGUACUGCCUCAGGCCCCCCACCGCCCGCUCCGAGGCGCAUCUGCACUUGCCGGUGCAGAGCUGGUGCCGGAGCCCGGCACAGCUGUUUGGAACCUCCAAGCUGCAGCUGACCCCGGCUCUGGGGAGUUGCUUGCCAGCUGGGAUCCCAGGCUGCUCCCAGCAGGCAGCUGGAACGCUGCAAGCCCUGCUGGGAGCAGUCCAGGCUCUGUUGCUGGCAGCAGCUACACGGAGCUGGCACUGGCCUUGCAUGCCAAGCAAAAUGGCCUUGCAUGUCACACUUGGCACACGUGCCAGGGUUUGCCAACCCCUGCAGUACACAAACAAUUAAGAGGGGAGGGAACAACACCCCUUCCCCCACAU